UACAGAGGUCUCGAGCGUUGUUCGGAUUCAUUGGGCGUAAAGGGUGCGUAGGUGGCGCUGUAAGUCGGGUGUGAAAUCCUGAGGCUUAACCUCGGAACUGCAUUCGAUACUGCGGUGCUUGAGGACUGGAGAGGAGACUGGAAUUCAUGGUGUAGCAGUGAAAUGCGUAGAGAUCAUGAGGAAGACCAGUGGCGAAGGCGGCGCUCUGGACCGAGACUGACGCUGAGGCGCGAAAGCGUGGGGAGCAAACAGG
RNAcentral lists this ribosomal RNA (253 nucleotides) under uncultured bacterium. RNAcentral's name for it is "partial 16S ribosomal RNA". It matches the Rfam family "Bacterial small subunit ribosomal RNA", at positions 524 to 776 of the family's 1533-position model. The record is from RNAcentral.